AUUCUCCUACUUUUUACUUAGGCAUUUCUUUAUUUUAUUUUGUUUAUUUUUAUAUUUUAUUAUGUUUUCAUAUUUUAUUUUAUUUUUAGUUUAAUUUAAUUUUCGCACUUAUUUUUCAGCUUUAGCAGUCUGCGCGGAAACGAUCAUAACUGGAGUUCCGGGAAUCCGUUUGAGGCGUUCUAAAAAUCGCCGGAAAGCUAAGAGAGAG
RNAcentral lists this long non-coding RNA (208 nucleotides) under Lathyrus oleraceus (garden pea). RNAcentral describes it as "Pisum sativum (pea) long non-coding RNA (PSAT_LNC018271)". Lineage: Eukaryota; Viridiplantae; Streptophyta; Magnoliopsida; Fabales; Fabaceae. The record is from RNAcentral.